This 497-nucleotide ribosomal RNA is filed under the name uncultured bacterium. RNAcentral describes it as "partial 16S ribosomal RNA". It matches the Rfam family "Bacterial small subunit ribosomal RNA", at positions 28 to 507 of the family's 1533-position model. The record is from RNAcentral.
GAUGAACGCUGGCGGCGUGCCUAAUACAUGCAAGUCGAGCGAACAGACGAGGAGCUUGCUCCUCUGACGUUAGCGGCGGACGGGUGAGUAACACGUGGAUAACCUACCUAUAAGACUGGGAUAACUUCGGGAAACCGGAGCUAAUACCGGAUAAUAUAUUGAACCGCAUGGUUCAAUAGUGAAAGACGGUUUUGCUGUCACUUAUAGAUGGAUCCGCGCCGCAUUAGCUAGUUGGUAAGGUAACGGCUUACAAAGGCAACGGUGCGUAGCCGACCUGAGAGGGUGAUCGGCCACACUGGAACUGAGACACGGUCCAGACUCCUACGGGAGGCAGCAGUAGGGAAUCUUCCGCAAUGGGCGAAAGCCUGACGGAGCAACGCCGCGUGAGUGAUGAAGGUCUUCGGAUCGUAAAACUCUGUUAUUAGGGAAGAACAAAUGUGUAAGUAACUAUGCACGUCUUGACGGUACCUAAUCAGAAAGCCACGGCUAACUACGUG